This 337-nucleotide unclassified non-coding RNA is filed under the name soil metagenome. Its description in RNAcentral is "partial contains 5.8S ribosomal RNA, internal transcribed spacer 2, and large subunit ribosomal RNA". The stretch from base 1 to 120 matches the Rfam family "5.8S ribosomal RNA", at positions 35 to 154 of the family's 154-position model. The record is from RNAcentral.
GAUGAAGAACGUAGCGAAAUGCGAUAAGUAAUGUGAAUUGCAGAAUUCCGUGAAUCAUCGAAUCUUUGAACGCACAUUGCGCCCCCUGGCAUUCCGGGGGGCAUGCCUGUCCGAGCGUCAUUUCUGCCCUCAAGCACGGCUUGUGUGUUGGGUGCGGUCCCCCCGGGGACCUGCCCGAAAGGCAGCGGCGACGUCCGUCUGGUCCUCGAGCGUAUGUGGCUCUGUCACUCGCUCGGGAAGGACCUGCGGGGGUUGGUCACCACUAUAUUUUACCACGGUUGACCUCGGAUCAGGUAGGAGUUACCCGCUGAACUUAAGCAUAUCAAUAAGCGGAGGA